This 483-nucleotide ribosomal RNA is filed under the name uncultured bacterium. RNAcentral's name for it is "bacterial SSU rRNA". It matches the Rfam family "Bacterial small subunit ribosomal RNA", at positions 28 to 507 of the family's 1533-position model. The record is from RNAcentral.
GAUGAACGCUGGCGGCGUGCCUCAAACAUGCAAGUCGAGCGGGGGCUAUGUAAUAUCGCAAGGUAGAACAUAGCCUAGCGGCGAACGGGUGAGUAACACGUGGGUAACCUGCCUGGAAGACAGGGAUAACGAUUCGAAAGGGUCGCUAAUACCUGAUAAUAUCCUUUCAUCGCAUGGUGAUAGGAAGAAAGGGGGAAACCCGCUUUCAGAUGGGCCCGCGUCCCAUCAGCUAGUUGGUAAGGUAAAGGCUUACCAAGGCGACGACGGGUAGCCGGUCUGAGAGGAUGUACGGCCACACUGGGACUGAGAUACGGCCCAGACUCCUACGGGAGGCAGCAGUUGGGAAUCUUAGGCAAUGGACGAAAGUCUGACCUAGCGACGCCGCGUGAGGGAAGAAGGCCUUCGGGUUGUAACCUACUGUCUAUGGGGAAGGAAGGAAGUAGACGGUACCCCGAACGAGGAAGACCCCUCGCUAACUACGUG